This 1437-nucleotide ribosomal RNA is filed under the name Halomonas sp. ljh-18. RNAcentral describes it as "bacterial SSU rRNA". It matches the Rfam family "Bacterial small subunit ribosomal RNA". The record is from RNAcentral. Lineage: Bacteria; Pseudomonadati; Pseudomonadota; Gammaproteobacteria; Oceanospirillales; Halomonadaceae.
GGGGGGCAGUCUACCAUGCAGUCGAGCGGAACGAUGGGAGCUUGCUCCCAGGCGUCGAGCGGCGGACGGGUGAGUAAUGCAUAGGAAUCUGCCCGAUAGUGGGGGAUAACCUGGGGAAACCCAGGCUAAUACCGCAUACGUCCUACGGGAGAAAGCAGGGGCUCUUCGGACCUUGCGCUAUCGGAUGAGCCUAUGUCGGAUUAGCUGGUUGGUGAGGUAAUGGCUCACCAAGGCGACGAUCCGUAGCUGGUCUGAGAGGAUGAUCAGCCACAUCGGGACUGAGACACGGCCCGAACUCCUACGGGAGGCAGCAGUGGGGAAUAUUGGACAAUGGGCGAAAGCCUGAUCCAGCCAUGCCGCGUGUGUGAAGAAGGCCCUCGGGUUGUAAAGCACUUUCAGUGGGGAAGAAAGCCUUGGGGCUAAUACCCUCGAGGAAGGACAUCACCCACAGAAGAAGCACCGGCUAACUCCGUGCCAGCAGCCGCGGUAAUACGGAGGGUGCGAGCGUUAAUCGGAAUUACUGGGCGUAAAGCGCGCGUAGGUGGCUUGAUAAGCCGGUUGUGAAAGCCCCGGGCUCAACCUGGGAACGGCAUCCGGAACUGUCAGGCUAGAGUGCAGGAGAGGAAGGUAGAAUUCCCGGUGUAGCGGUGAAAUGCGUAGAGAUCGGGAGGAAUACCAGUGGCGAAGGCGGCCUUCUGGACUGACACUGACACUGAGGUGCGAAAGCGUGGGUAGCAAACAGGAUUAGAUACCCUGGUAGUCCACGCCGUAAACGAUGUCGACUAGCCGUUGGGAGCCUCGAGUUCUUAGUGGCGCAGUUAACGCGAUAAGUCGACCGCCUGGGGAGUACGGCCGCAAGGUUAAAACUCAAAUGAAUUGACGGGGGCCCGCACAAGCGGUGGAGCAUGUGGUUUAAUUCGAUGCAACGCGAAGAACCUUACCUACCCUUGACAUCGUGCGAACUUGGUAGAGAUACCUUGGUGCCUUCGGGAACGCACAGACAGGUGCUGCAUGGCUGUCGUCAGCUCGUGUUGUGAAAUGUUGGGUUAAGUCCCGUAACGAGCGCAACCCUUGUCCCUAUUUGCCAGCGAUUCGGUCGGGAACUCUAGGGAGACUGCCGGUGACAAACCGGAGGAAGGUGGGGACGACGUCAAGUCAUCAUGGCCCUUACGGGUAGGGCUACACACGUGCUACAAUGGUCGGUACAAAGGGUUGCAAAGCGGCGACGUGGAGCUAAUCCCAGAAAGCUGAUCUCAGUCCGGAUCGGAGUCUGCAACUCGACUCCGUGAAGUCGGAAUCGCUAGUAAUCGUGAAUCAGAAUGUCACGGUGAAUACGUUCCCGGGCCUUGUACACACCGCCCGUCACACCAUGGGAGUGGACUGCACCAGAAGUGGUUAGCCUAACUUCGGAGGGCGAUCACCAGCGGUUUGUUACCG